RNAcentral lists this unclassified non-coding RNA (161 nucleotides) under uncultured Cryptococcus. RNAcentral's name for it is "sequence contains ITS2". Lineage: Eukaryota; Fungi; Basidiomycota; Tremellomycetes. The record is from RNAcentral.
ACACCUCACCCCCUCGGGUUUCCGAUCGGGUGGAUUUGGGCGUCUGCCAGUCACAUGGCUCGCCUUAAAUGCAUUAGCGGUUGUUGACGUGAUAAGUUUCGUCUGACUGGCCGCUGAUAAUCUCCCUCUCUUUGGGAUGUCUGUCAAAGGACAACUUCAUG